CUGUGGCCUGGUUCAAGUAAUCCAGGAUAGGCUGUAUCCAUUCUAACUCGCCUAUUCUUGGUUACUUGCACUGGGACAGGG
Non-coding RNA from Taeniopygia guttata (zebra finch), 81 nucleotides. The record is from Rfam. Lineage: Eukaryota; Metazoa; Chordata; Aves; Passeriformes; Estrildidae.